CUCUGCGGGAUGGCUCAGUCGGUAGAACAAGAGACACUUAAUCUUAGGGUUGUGGGUUCGAGUUCCACGUUGGAGA
Non-coding RNA from Podarcis lilfordi (Lilford's wall lizard), 76 nucleotides. NCBI's taxonomy places the organism in Eukaryota, Metazoa, Chordata, Lepidosauria, Squamata, Lacertidae. The record is from the annotation of a GenBank genome assembly.